Molecule: long non-coding RNA, 524 nt
Organism: Aethina tumida (small hive beetle)
Lineage: Eukaryota; Metazoa; Arthropoda; Insecta; Coleoptera; Nitidulidae
Exons: 2
Source: RefSeq, a predicted model, not a curated record
AAUAAAUAAAAUCAACAACAAACCAUUUGUAUUCUGAAGAAUUAGUCAGUCUACAAUUUUUAUUUAAUUCUUAAAAUCAUUGAUAAUAUGGCACCCAGGACAAACUUGAUUGAGGAAAAUUAGGACGACGAUUGCGGCGGCCCUUCUUUUUUUGACACCGAUUUUUACACAAAGACGGAGAAUCUGCCGAUCAUCCGGUAUCCACCUCAUGGUCUCACUCGUGGGGAAAGAAAGGCAUUUAGACGUCGCGAGGGUGAACGUCAUCAAAGAUUACGGAGGGAGGCGGAAGCAGAUGCGGCAGCGGAGGACGCGGAGGUUGUGGCAGCAUAGGCGGUGGCUAAGGCCGCUGUAGCCAAAGCCGAGGCGGCAGAGCGCCGCGCCGUUGAGGCUGCGGCGACACUUGCGGGUCUCCAAAUAGAGGCUAAACGACUCCGCAUCAUUGCGAAUUCGUCAAGUGCAACAGCGAGGGGAAUGGCCGUCUCCCUCGAUGCAAAAAAGACGAAAUAAAUAAUAUUUUACUUAUU